CUUCAGUCGACAGGUGGCGCUGUAUUUUACCAUAAAAAUAACAACAAACUCACAUGGUGACAGGGAAAUCUGCUCACUGUAUGGAUGGAGUAUUUAUCACAUAUAACGUAUUCUUAUUUAGUGGAUGUGAAUUUUUACAAAAUUCUUUUUUAAAUCCAGUUUUUUUCAUGAUAGGUGUAGAUGGCAUUGCUUGGAUAUGUAAUGUGGAAAUGAAAUUUGUGCCUUGGAGAGACAUUCAAUGCCUUCUGCAAACUACAGUAUAGAACUAUUGCAUUGAUAUAUUUGAUAGCAGUGUACUGAAUAGAAUUUUGUGGACUCAAAAGAAUGCAGAAAUUAGGACUAAUACGUUCUGUCGUUUAGACACCUGCACCCCAACACCUGUAUCCAGUCACGUGAACAAUUCCCAGUGAUGCCAUUGGUUGUGCUUUAUCAUCUUCAGUAUCCCAUGAUGCAAAUUUCAACACUGAUAACAUUCUCAAUUGUUUUGUCUCAGAAAUGAUUAUUGAUUUACAUAAUAAUAACUCUCCCCAUGAACCUUACCAGGCAUUUUAUUCCAGAAUCAUGUUCAAGCCUCUAUAAUUUUAGGUGUGUAGUUUAUUAUUUUUCCUGCUGCAUGAUUUAAUGAUAAUGCUUUGUAUAAUUAUUUUCAUUUUAUCAAAUUAUGCAUACUUCUGUAAAUCAUUUAAAACAUUUAUAAUUGAAAGUGUGCUAUACAUUAUAAGUUAUUAAUUGUUUGUAUUUUAUCUUUAUUGUUGUUUGUUUUUAUUUUUAAUGUUAGUACUAUUAUCAGUUUAAAAUUUAAUAAAUUGAAAUUAUCAAUCAUCUUCAAGUGUUCGGACAUUUAUCGUCAUAAUG
Anneissia japonica is the source of this 855-nucleotide long non-coding RNA. RefSeq lists it as uncharacterized. The record is from RefSeq and is a predicted model, not a curated record. The transcript is spliced from 3 exons. Lineage: Eukaryota; Metazoa; Echinodermata; Crinoidea; Comatulida; Comatulidae.